Lutra lutra (Eurasian river otter) is the source of this 534-nucleotide long non-coding RNA. RefSeq lists it as uncharacterized. The record is from RefSeq and is a predicted model, not a curated record. NCBI's taxonomy places the organism in Eukaryota, Metazoa, Chordata, Mammalia, Carnivora, Mustelidae. The transcript has 3 exons.
GCGCCUAGGGCGUUCGGGGAGCUGGGGAACCUGGAGCCAAAAGCGGACUUUCGGAGGGGGUACCCGCGGGGCGCAGGAGCGCAGGGACCGGACCAAGCAGUGACUCAGCACUGCAGAGAAGCAGAGGACAAGGGCUGGGAGCUGGGAGAAGAGAGUUGUCAGACCUGAUAUGGUAGCCACAGGUCACAUGUGGAUUGACACAUCGGUAGUCAGAAUGGAGAUGUGCUGUAAUUGAAAAACAUAUACACCAGGUUCCAAAGACUUAAUAUUUUUAAAAAAGUAAAAGAUCUCAAUAAUCAUUUAUAUCAAUUAUGUGUUGAAAUGAUGAUAUGUUGGGAUACUGGGUUAAAUUAUUAUAUGAAUUUAGUCUGUUUGUUCUUACUUUUAAAAAUGUGGUUACUAGAAAAUGUAAAAUUAUAUAUGUGGCUCACAUUUGUGGCUUGUAUGGGAUUCUGUUGGAGAGAUGCUGGAGAGAGGACCCCACAUUGAAAAUGGCCCCCAGCAUGGCAGGCCCUCCUGCCGGGGUCCAUGGGC